AUUACGGACCCAAAAUUACUUGUU
Molecule: non-coding RNA, 24 nt
Filed under: Arabidopsis thaliana (thale cress)
Lineage: Eukaryota; Viridiplantae; Streptophyta; Magnoliopsida; Brassicales; Brassicaceae
Source: RNAcentral